CAGGAUUCUCUUCUCCGUUUCUUUCAUUCUCUGCGUUAAUGGUGAUAUUGCGUUGUUGCAGAAAAUGGAGUUGUUGUUGAUGCUGAGGCGAUGAUGAUACGUUGAUAGAAGGAUGGAUUUUCUUGCGCUGAACUGUGAGAAUUGAAGAUUAUCGCGAGUUAUGGAGGAUUCGUGAGGAACUGAGAUUAUGAGAGUAAUGAUGAUUCUUUUCUUCUUUGUCUGAGCUUCUGUUACACUUUUGUUGUGAUUCUGAGAAUCAAAUUAUGGCGGAGAAGUGUUGAAGGUGAUGAUUAUGGUUCAAGAUUGAAUUUUCUGAGUUUUUGAUGGAGAAUUCGUGAGAGGGAGAAGUAAUAGGCUGUGGAUUGAAGAAGGUUCAUAGUUUAAAGAGUGGUGGUGAUUGAGGAUGAUGAUUGAUUCUGAGAUUGUGAAGAUUCAAUUGGAUCUUGAAGAAAGUUUGUUACAAGUUUUUGCUCAGGGCGAGAGAGAGAAAGAGAGAGAGAGAGAGAGUUUCUUUCUGUUGAAAGUUUGUUACAUUUUUUUUUGUGAGUUUCUCUUAUCCUCUUCUGGUUUUCUGUUAUGUAUCGUGAGAGAGUAAUUGAAGAUGAUGAGAUCGUGAAAGUUGAAGAGUGUGAAGGAUUAUGGAGAGAUCGAGAAAACGGUUAUGGUGGACGAUUCAAGGAUCUGAAGUUUGUUACAUCUCCCUUCCAUUCUGUUACCUUCUUCCCUCUUCUGUUAUCCAUUUUCUGGUGCUGGCUCGGUUUUGUUAGCAUGCUUGUAUGCUUGGAAUGUCCUUGGCAUUGUUUGAAAAAGAAGUAGCAAAGGCCUAUUGGGCUUCAACUGGAGAUUGAAGAUUAGGAUAGAUAAAGAGAUUUGGUUUUCUAUUCAUGAAUGAGUUAUAUUGGAAUUUUUGUAAUGAGUUGGACUCUUCUUGAAUGUGAAUUGUGAUGAUAGAUCUUGCAAUGAGUUUAUCAAAGAAUGUCUCUUUUGAA
Molecule: long non-coding RNA, 989 nt
Organism: Vicia villosa (hairy vetch)
Lineage: Eukaryota; Viridiplantae; Streptophyta; Magnoliopsida; Fabales; Fabaceae
Exons: 2
Source: RefSeq, a predicted model, not a curated record